Molecule: ribosomal RNA, 334 nt
Filed under: uncultured bacterium
Lineage: Bacteria
Description: bacterial SSU rRNA
Rfam family: Bacterial small subunit ribosomal RNA
Source: RNAcentral
CUAGCGACUUCAGAGUUUGAUCCUGGCUCAGGACAGACGCUGGCGGCGUGCCUAACACAUGCAAGUCGAACGGAGUUGAUCUUCGGAUUAACUUAGUGGCGAACGGGUGAGUAACGCGUGAGAAACCUGCCUUUCAGUGGGGGACAACAGUUGGAAACGACUGCUAAUACCGCAUAAUGUCAUUUGGGGGCAUCCCCGAAUGACCAAAGAUUUAUUGCUGAAAGAUGGUCUCGCGUCUGAUUAGCUAGAUGGCGGGGUAACGGCCCACCAUGGCGACGAUCAGUAGCCGGUCUGAGAGGAUGAACGGCCACAUUGGGACUGAGAUACGGCCCAG